Long non-coding RNA from Arabidopsis thaliana (thale cress), 204 nucleotides. RefSeq annotates it as other RNA. The record is from RefSeq. NCBI's taxonomy places the organism in Eukaryota, Viridiplantae, Streptophyta, Magnoliopsida, Brassicales, Brassicaceae. The transcript has a single exon.
CUCUGUGUCAAGGCCGGCCCUUUUCUUCUCAUUCUACUACACCCACAAGCCACACCUAUUUAUCAUCAUCACUCCUCCUAAAGCAAAUAAAUGAAAGAACAAAAAAUGAAGAAGCUCAAUAUUAUACUUACUUGUUGGUGUGUCAUGUGUGCGUAGAUAUGAUGUGGAUUGUGUAAGAAACUAAUGUGGCUACUGGGUCCUCUC